RNAcentral lists this ribosomal RNA (484 nucleotides) under uncultured bacterium. Its description in RNAcentral is "partial 16S ribosomal RNA". It matches the Rfam family "Bacterial small subunit ribosomal RNA", at positions 30 to 507 of the family's 1533-position model. The record is from RNAcentral.
AUUGAACGCUGGCGGCAGGCCUAACACAUGCAAGUCGAGCGGAUGAAGGGAGCUUGCUCCUGGAUUCAGCGGCGGACGGGUGAGUAAUGCCUAGGAAUCUGCCUGGUAGUGGGGGAUAACGUCCGGAAACGGGCGCUAAUACCGCAUACGUCCUGAGGGAGAAAGUAGGGGAUCUUCGGACCUCACGCUAUCAGAUGAGCCUAGGUCGGAUUAGCUAGUUGGUGGGGUAAAGGCCUACCAAGGCGACGAUCCGUAACUGGUCUGAGAGGAUGAUCAGUCACACUGGAACUGAGACACGGUCCAGACUCCUACGGGAGGCAGCAGUGGGGAAUAUUGGACAAUGGGCGAAAGCCUGAUCCAGCCAUGCCGCGUGUGUGAAGAAGGUCUUCGGAUUGUAAAGCACUUUAAGUUGGGAGGAAGGGCAGUAAGUUAAUACCUUGCUGUUUUGACGUUACCAACAGAGUAAGCACCGGCUAACUUCGUG